Molecule: transfer RNA, 74 nt
Filed under: Chrysiogenia bacterium
Lineage: Bacteria; Pseudomonadati; Chrysiogenota; Chrysiogenia
Description: tRNA-Gln
Rfam family: tRNA
About the family: Transfer RNA (tRNA) molecules are approximately 80 nucleotides in length. Their secondary structure includes four short double-helical elements and three loops (D, anti-codon, and T loops). Further hydrogen bonds mediate the characteristic L-shaped molecular structure. tRNAs have two regions of fundamental functional importance: the anti-codon, which is responsible for specific mRNA codon recognition, and the 3' end, to which the tRNAs corresponding amino acid is attached (by aminoacyl-tRNA synthetases). tRNAs cope with the degeneracy of the genetic code in two manners: having more than one tRNA (with a specific anti-codon) for a particular amino acid; and 'wobble' base-pairing, i.e. permitting non-standard base-pairing at the 3rd anti-codon position.
Source: RNAcentral
UCCGGGAUCGUCUAAUGGUAGGACAGCUGGCUCUGAACCAGUCAAUGGUGGUUCGAAUCCAUCUCCCGGAACCA